Non-coding RNA from Peromyscus maniculatus bairdii (prairie deer mouse), 392 nucleotides. Lineage: Eukaryota; Metazoa; Chordata; Mammalia; Rodentia; Cricetidae. The record is from RefSeq and is a predicted model, not a curated record.
GAAGAAGACGAAGAAGAAGAAGAAGAAGAAGAAGAAGAAGAAGAAGAAGAAGAAGAAGAAGAAGAAGAAGAAGAAGAAGAAGAAGAAGAAGAAAGAAGCACAAAUGAGCUUUGGGAUAGAGUGUAAGCUGAUGAGAAGACAGAGGCUGGUAUUUCUGGACAAGCAGCAUGGAAGCCCAUGUGGAUCAACAUUCCAUGCCGACUUGACUGCUUGCUGGAACAACCACAUUACUGAAGCUACUGAAGAUCACAGAAACAAUUUAUUGGUCCCUUUAGCUCUCUGGCCUCCGUUGACUUAAGAUGAUGAUGAUGAUAAUGGAUGAUUGCUUUGGCAAAAGGUAUAAGUGGAGUAAAGCAAGCUGAACUCUCUAAUAAAGAACCUGGUAAACUCUA